RNAcentral lists this transfer-messenger RNA (369 nucleotides) under Magnetococcales. Its description in RNAcentral is "UBA8363 sp002753735 Standard tmRNA". It matches the Rfam family "transfer-messenger RNA". From Rfam's summary of the family: Bacterial tmRNA, also known as 10Sa RNA or SsrA, is named for its dual tRNA and mRNA-like properties. Lineage: Bacteria; Pseudomonadati; Pseudomonadota; Magnetococcia. The record is from RNAcentral. RNAcentral also lists the same sequence under 1 other name.
GGGGGUGUCACGGUUUCGACGGGGUAUGGAAAGGCUUUUGGAGGCGGCUCGGUAUCGCACCACCGAAACAGGGCGAAACUUUAUAAUUGCCAAUGACGAGCACUAUGCUCCGAUGAGGGCAGCGGCCUAAAACCGUUGUCACUUCGGGGUCCUGAUCCGGGCCCGGCAACAGAAGUCUUUCGAGACGGGAUCAAGCCGGAAUGUGAAUGCCGGUUAAAAUCCAGGGUCACCCAGUAUUCCGAGGUAACGGAAGCGUCGGAUCCAGCCGGUCUGCAAUGGAUCCGUUGCUCAUGACCGGCGAAAUGGCCGUACAUCUUCCGGGUUGACUACAUGUUUCGGACGCGGGUUCGACUCCCGCCACCUCCACCA